Molecule: ribosomal RNA, 426 nt
Filed under: uncultured bacterium
Lineage: Bacteria
Description: bacterial SSU rRNA
Rfam family: Archaeal small subunit ribosomal RNA
Source: RNAcentral
AAGAAAGGGCCGGGCAAGACCGGUGCCAGCCGCCGCGGUAAUACCGGCGGCUCGAGUGGUGGCCACUAUUACUGGGCUUAAAGCGUUCGUAGCUGGCUUGUUAAGUCUCUGGGGAAAUCUUCCGGCUCAACCGAAAGGCGUCCNUGGGAUACUGGCAGGCUAGGGACCGGAAGAGGUGAGAGGUACUCCNGGGGUNGGAGUGAAAUCCUGUAAUCCUUGGGGGACCACCUGUGGCGAAGGCAUCUCACCANNACGGCUCCGACAGUGAGGAACGAAAGCUGGGGGAGCAAACCGGAUUAAAUACCCGGGUAGUCCCACCUGUAAACNAUGCACGUUAGGUGUAUCGGUGACCACGAGUCACCGAGGUGCCGAAGAGAAAUCNUGAAACGCNCCGCCUGGGAAGUACGGUCGCAAGGCUGAAACUUA